RNAcentral lists this long non-coding RNA (730 nucleotides) under Rattus norvegicus (Norway rat). Its description in RNAcentral is "long non-coding RNA NONRATT023698". The record is from RNAcentral. Lineage: Eukaryota; Metazoa; Chordata; Mammalia; Rodentia; Muridae.
GGAAGACAAUCCUGAGAAGUAGUUUUCCAAAGUGUGGUUUGGUGAGUUGUUUGUUUCUCUGGUACUAAUGGCUUUCCUCUUCCCCUCUGCCUACCGAAAUAAGAAACCUGCUCCUCCAAAGCCAGAGCCCAAGCCUAAAAAGGCCCCUGCAAAGGUAAGCCGGACUGAGACGCUGCUGCUAAUACUUGGUUGGGAGUUUCACAGAGAGCUGUCCUUCCCUGCCUUAACCUAAUUCAACAUAAUGAUGACUCUUCGGUGGAAGGCGGAGGUUAUUUUGAGAACCUUGUUUGUGAUAAUUUGUCAUGUUAGUGUCUUUGGCAAAAGUUAAAGAAAACUAGGGUUGACUUAACAGCAUUUUUAGCUGUUCUUUAAUUUGAAUGACUCUUUGGAGGACUACAAGUUGUAAUCUAGCUUAGUGGAGGGGGGCUGUAUCUUCAGUAGGCAAGCCUACUUUUAGCAGAACCUUGUAGGCCAUAUGACAGUAACACAGGCUGAGAGACUUGUGUCCCUCCUUCUUUGGCUUUAGAAGGGAGAGAAGGUACCCAAGGGGAAGAAGGGGAAAGCGGAUGCUGGUAAGGAUGCGAAUAAUCCUGCAGAAAACGGAGAUGCCAAAACAGACCAGGCACAGAAAGCGGACGGUGCUGGAGAUGCCAAGUGACGUGUGUGCGUUUUUGAUAACUGUGUACUUCUGGUGACUGUACAGUUUGAAAUACUAUUUUUUAUCAAGUUU